RNAcentral lists this ribosomal RNA (253 nucleotides) under uncultured bacterium. RNAcentral's name for it is "partial 16S ribosomal RNA". It matches the Rfam family "Bacterial small subunit ribosomal RNA", at positions 524 to 776 of the family's 1533-position model. The record is from RNAcentral.
UACGAAGGGGGCUAGCGUUGUUCGGAAUUACUGGGCGUAAAGCGCACGUAGGCGGAUACUUAAGUCAGGGGGGAAAUCCCGGGGCUCAACCCCGGAACUGCCUUUGAUACUGGGUAUCUCGAGUCCGGAAGAGGUGAGUGGAAUUCCGAGUGUAGAGGUGAAAUUCGUAGAUAUUCGGAGGAACACCAGUGGCGAAGGCGGCUCACUGGUCCGGUACUGACGCUGAGGUGCGAAAGCGUGGGGAGCAAACAGG